Molecule: ribosomal RNA, 254 nt
Filed under: uncultured bacterium
Lineage: Bacteria
Description: partial 16S ribosomal RNA
Rfam family: Bacterial small subunit ribosomal RNA
Source: RNAcentral
UACGGAGGGUGCAAGCGUUAUCCGGAAUCACUGGGUUUAAAGGGUGCGUAGGCGGUCAGAUAAGUCAGUUGUGAAAUACCCCGGCUUAACCGGCGGAACUGCGAUUGAUACUGUUUGACUUGAAUCAGGUUGAGGUAGACGGAAUGUGGCAUGUAGCGGUGAAAUGCUUAGAUAUGCCAUAGAACACCGAUUGCGAAGGCAGCUUGCUGGACCUGUAUUGACGCUGAGGCACGAAAGCGUGGGGAGCAAACAGG